GUACACGCUGUGACUAGCAUAUCAAUAAGCGGAGGAAAAGAAACUAACAAGGAUUCCCCUAGUAACGGCGAGUGAAGCGGGAAGAGCUCAAAUUUGAAAUCUUAAAGGGUUUCCCUUUACGAAUUGUAGUUUAAAGAAGUGUUUUCUGUUGAGGUUUUGGUAAAAGUUCUUUGGAAUAGGACAUCAUAGAGGGUGAGAAUCCUGUAUUUGACCUUUACUUUCAACUUUGUGAUACACUUUCAAAGAGUCGGAUUGUUUGGGAAUGCAGUCCAAAAUGGGUGGUAAAUUUCAUCUAAAGCUAAAUAUUGGCGAGAGACCGAUAGCGAACAAGUACCGUGAGGGAAAGAUGAAAAGAACUUUGAAAAGAGAGUUAAACAGUACGUGAAAUUGUCAAAAGGGAAGCGUUUGACACCAGUGUUGUUUUUCUGAAAAUCAAUUAGAGAACUGUUUAUGCUAAGUUGUUUAGACUUUAUCAGCUAUCUGUUUAGUUUUGAGCUUUUCUUUAAUGCACUUUUCAGUUAACAAGUCAACAUCAAUUUCUUUUGCUGUAAAAAAGCUUGAGGAAGGUGGCUUGAGAUUCGUCUUAAGUGUUUAUAGCCUCUUGCCUAUGCAGUCGGAGAGAUUGAGGUCUGCAGCGUAGAUCCUUCGGGGCUAAAUGCAUUUGUGCUAAGUUAUAGCAUUUUAUAGACAACUUGUUGACCAUGAUUUGUCUUGUAGCUUACUCGCUUAUGUUAUUUUACCUACGCUUAGGAUGUUGAUAUGCAUGACUGAUAU
RNAcentral lists this ribosomal RNA (774 nucleotides) under uncultured Neocallimastigales. RNAcentral describes it as "partial large subunit ribosomal RNA". It matches the Rfam family "Eukaryotic large subunit ribosomal RNA", at positions 22 to 636 of the family's 3401-position model. Lineage: Eukaryota; Fungi; Neocallimastigomycota; Neocallimastigomycetes; Neocallimastigales. The record is from RNAcentral.